This 315-nucleotide ribosomal RNA is filed under the name uncultured bacterium. RNAcentral describes it as "bacterial SSU rRNA". It matches the Rfam family "Bacterial small subunit ribosomal RNA", at positions 9 to 296 of the family's 1533-position model. The record is from RNAcentral.
GAGUUUGAUCGUGGCUCAGGACGAACGCUGGCGGCGUGCCUAAUACAUGCAAGUCGAGCGAGCGGAACUAACAGAUUUACUUCGGUAAUGACGUUAGGAAAGCGAGCGGCGGAUGGGUGAGUAACACGUGGGGAACCUGCCCCAUAGUCUGGGGAUACCACUUGGAAACAGGUGCUAAUACCGGAAUAAAAAAGCAGAUCGCAUGAUCAGUCUUUUAAAAAGGCGGCGUAAGCUGUCGCUAUGGGAUCGGCCCCGGGUGCAUUAGCUAGUUGGUAAGUAAAGGCUUACCAGGCGAUGAUGCAUAGCCGAGUUGAG